CACUACAAGAAAAGGCCAAAACAACGACGGCUUCACUGCGACGGUUCUAAAAACGGUUGUUAUUCUUGUAGUCAGCGACGGUUUAAAACGGUCGUUGCCACCGACGGCUUUUAGAGUGAUCAGCGACGGAUAAACCGUCGUUGUUUAUCAACGACCGUUUAGAACAGUCGUUAGUUUUAUUAUUAUAAUUUUUAGAUUUUUUCAAUUUAAGGAACUGUGUUAAACGGUCGCUGAUGAGUGAUGACAAAACAAAGUUUCGUGUUCUUCAGAUCUGCUCUCUCUCUCCUCAUUCCUCCCUCUCCUUACUCAACCGGUCAACCCUAAUCCCUCAUCUCUCUCCUCUUCAGAUCUGCUCCUUCCUCCUCCCUCUCAAUCCAACAGAGCAACGAACGCUUAUUGAAGAGAUAGAGACUGAGGAGAGAGAAAGUGAAACGGAAAAAAGAGAAUCCAAAAAAAGGGUUUCAACUCCAUCUCUAAGAAGGGUUUAGGUGGGAAAUUCAUGAGUCCCUCGGCUGUGAAAAUGGAGGAAUCAAAGCCUGCAAUUUUGAACAGUGAGAACGGUUGUGAAAUCGGAGCUCGAUUCACUGAAAUCUGCAAUGUUCAAUGUCUUCUUAUCGACAGCACCACCUGACCAUCUCACCAAGUUGUACAUACACAAGCCCAUUAUUUAUCUGAUGAUGCAGCAAGCCAUCAAGGAAGGGAAGUUAGUCCCUGCUGCAAAACAUUUUUGUAAUUUAUGAGAGUUAGAAUAUGUGAAGAAAUGUGACUUUGAAGCUUUUGUUGUCACAACAUACUUAUGAUCUUUGUGGUCAUCUUCAAUCUUGCGUCUUCUGACUUUUAGGGAGUUUUUGUGUAAAUUAGUUAUUUAGUUUAUAAAGUACUUUGACCAAUACUGUGGAAUGGCAAAAAAAUUAUGUCUACAA
Long non-coding RNA from Beta vulgaris subsp. vulgaris (sugar beet), 923 nucleotides. RefSeq lists it as uncharacterized. The record is from RefSeq and is a predicted model, not a curated record. The transcript is spliced from 3 exons. NCBI's taxonomy places the organism in Eukaryota, Viridiplantae, Streptophyta, Magnoliopsida, Caryophyllales, Amaranthaceae.